This 253-nucleotide ribosomal RNA is filed under the name uncultured bacterium. RNAcentral describes it as "partial 16S ribosomal RNA". It matches the Rfam family "Bacterial small subunit ribosomal RNA", at positions 524 to 776 of the family's 1533-position model. The record is from RNAcentral.
UACAGAGGGUGCAAGCGUUAAUCGGAAUUACUGGGCGUAAAGGGUGUGUAGGUGGUUAUAUAAGUUAGAUGUGAAAUCCCCGGGCUCAACCUGGGAACUGCGUUUAAAACUGUGUAGCUAGAGUAUUGCAGAGGAUAGUGGAAUUUCCAGUGUAGCGGUGAAAUGCGUAGAUAUUGGAAGGAACACCAGUGGCGAAGGCGACUAUCUGGGCAAAUACUGACACUGAGACACGAGAGCAUGGGGAGCAAACAGG